Molecule: long non-coding RNA, 394 nt
Organism: Salvelinus namaycush (lake trout)
Lineage: Eukaryota; Metazoa; Chordata; Actinopteri; Salmoniformes; Salmonidae
Exons: 3
Source: RefSeq, a predicted model, not a curated record
UUUGCCACUGAAUUCAUAUCCAAAGGAGACUUUGUUGUGGAGUACCGAGGUGAACUGCUUACACAACAGGAGGGCGAGGUCCGAGCUGAUCAGUACAAUGAUUCUGCAAAGGUGUUUCUUUUCCAUUUCCAAUGGAAAGGAAGAACAUGGUGCAUUGAUGCAUCUGAAGAAGACUCCUCCCUUGGGAGACUCGUUAAUGAUGAUCACUAAAGACUCAAUCUCAAAAUGAAGGCCAUACAAGCAAACGAUGAGCCACACUUGUGCCUCUUCGCGACUCGAGAUAUUGCAGCUGGCGAAGAGUUGACUUAUAGUUACGGUGAUUCAGACUGGCCAUGGAGAACACAGGUCAUCAAAACUGAAUUGUCGUCCAGCCCAAAACCUGGUAAGAACUUUA